UCCAUGAGCCCAUGCAGGCCCGUGCUCUCACCCAGGCUGUGGGCAUUCGGGCUCACGUGGCUCCUGGGAUGGCCCCAAUUCAGGCACAAGCCUAAUCUGGGGAUAGACUCUGGUCUCCCCGAGAAUGUAAGAUAACUAACACAGGACUGAUACACUCAUGGAAGCAACAAUGAAUUAGAUGGUUCCCUUCUGACGGUUCUUCCAGAAACUUGUUCCAAUGGAGUAAUGGUGGCUGGUUGGUGAAUGAGCUUCACCCGGGGAAGCUGUCAGCUGCCAACGAUCGUUGAUGAGUGACAGAUGCUGAAGGCUCACAUUCCUGUUGCCCGUGGACCGACUGAGAGAAGGACAGCUAAUUCACUGCAGAUGAGGUCCACUGCUGGCCAGGACUCUCAGAGACAGAGAGAGGACCCAGUCCGAAGUGCCCAGUGUUUCCCAGCUUCACUUAAUUGUUUCCUGAACAUAUCUGCAUCCCCUUGUUUCCGAGUGUUUGCUCAGGCUGUUCCCACUGCAUGGAAUGCCGUCCUCCGACCUCUGUCCUUGGACAUCCUCAGCGUCUCCACAAAGUCUCCAGACACCCACCACCAUUAUGAUCUCCCUCCCCACAUUACAACAACACAUUUCUCGAUGUGUGCACAAGACCGCAUAUAUUUUGCUCUAA
Molecule: long non-coding RNA, 658 nt
Organism: Suricata suricatta (meerkat)
Lineage: Eukaryota; Metazoa; Chordata; Mammalia; Carnivora; Herpestidae
Exons: 2
Source: RefSeq, a predicted model, not a curated record